GAUGAAGAACGUAGCGAAAUGCGAUAAGUAGUGUGAAUUGCAGAAUUCAGUGAAUCAUCGAAUCUUUGAACGCACAUUGCGCCCCUUGGUAUCCCGAGGGGCAUGCCUGUUCGAGCGUCAUUUCACCACUCAAGCCUGGCUUGGUGUUGGGCGACGUCCCCUUUGGGGACGCGCCUCGAAACGCUCGGCGGCGUGGCACCGGCUUUAAGCGUAGCAGAAUCUUUCGCUUUGGAAGUCGGGGCCCCGUCUGCCGGAAGACCUACUCGCAAGGUUGACCUCGGAUCAGGCAGGGAUACCCGCUGAACUUAAGCAUAUCAAUAAGCUGAGGA
RNAcentral lists this unclassified non-coding RNA (329 nucleotides) under soil metagenome. RNAcentral's name for it is "partial contains 5.8S ribosomal RNA, internal transcribed spacer 2, and large subunit ribosomal RNA". The stretch from base 1 to 120 matches the Rfam family "5.8S ribosomal RNA", at positions 35 to 154 of the family's 154-position model. The record is from RNAcentral.